Molecule: long non-coding RNA, 950 nt
Organism: Patiria miniata (bat star)
Lineage: Eukaryota; Metazoa; Echinodermata; Asteroidea; Valvatida; Asterinidae
Exons: 2
Source: RefSeq, a predicted model, not a curated record
AAGUGUGAUUUAUAUUUUUAAAUAAUGUUUCAAUUUUUGUAUUUAUCAUUGUGUUUAUUAAUGUAAUUAAUUAUGGGAUUUUCACUUAUACAUUUAUUUUAGCACAAGUUAAUUUAAUUCUCCCCCAUCCAGAAUUGAGGCUACCCAGAGUGUACAGCAGAGCUAAAUCUUUCUUAUGCAAAUGACAGUAUGCAAAUUAAUGUCAUGGUUGAGUACUUUUGUUAGGACUUGGAUGCCAUGUGCAUUCCCCAGGGCACUGCUAUUCUAGACUUCGCUGUGUGCAGUCCUGUGUGAGUACAUGUACAUGUACAUGUAUAUACAGUGGUACUGUGUGUACCAGGGCGUGGCCCAUGAUUUAAAAAGCCAGUUUAUCCUGCAAACUGGCUUUUCCCUGUGGGAAUAGAGAAUUCCUAGGUUCUUGGUGAACCAGAUAGCUUGUUCUGUGUGAACAACAGUUAGCCAACUCCCAAGACUAGCUCACGGUCUACCGAGAGAGUCAGGAGGAAGAUUCGGAACCGAGUCCUGUGUGGACCAGGCAUCGAGCCAGAUUCCAAGGCCCGGAGAGGUCACCCAAGUUCCCCAAGCCCGGAGUUCAUCCGCCUUAGUGGGAUCGUCAAAGCGCCGGAGGGAUGUUGUGUGUGUGACUGGUGCUCCAAAUCGACCACCCGUGUCACAAGUGUGAGCUUUGAACACGGCAAGUCCUUCAAAAGGUUUUGAACAGUGACUGUUUAGGGGGGUGAUUGCAUUUGUUUUGGGGUAUUGGAAACGGCCGUAUAACACAUAAUACAGGAUCCUUAUAAUGCCAUGAUAUAGUUGAGUAUCCGUCACUCAAAGUAUAAGUAAUUCAUAUAGUGGCAUAAUUCAAUUGAAAUAAUUUGUACAUAGUAAAUUUCCGUUUGUUUAAUAUAUUUAUUUGUCGUAAUUAAAUAGUAUUUUGUCUUGAUCAUACA